Molecule: ribosomal RNA, 460 nt
Filed under: uncultured bacterium
Lineage: Bacteria
Description: partial 16S ribosomal RNA
Rfam family: Bacterial small subunit ribosomal RNA
Source: RNAcentral
CCUACGGGUGGCAGCAGUGAGGAAUAUUGGUCAAUGGACGAGAGUCUGAACCAGCCAAGUAGCGUGAAGGAUGACUGCCCUAUGGGUUGUAAACUUCUUUUAUACAGGAAUAAAAUGAGGCACGUGUGCCUUUUUGCAUGUACUUUAUGAAUAAGGAUCGGCUAACUCCGUGCCAGCAGCCGCGGUAAUACGGAGGAUCCGAGCUUUAUCCGGAUUUAUUGGGUUUAAAGGGAGCGUAGAUGGGUUGUUAAGUCAGUUGUGAAAGUUUGCGGCUCAACCGUAAAAUUGCAAUUGAUACUGGCAGUCUUGAGUACAGUUGAGGUAGGCGGAAUUCGUGGUGUAGCGGUGAAAUGCUUAGAUAUCACGAAGAACCCCGAUUGCGAAGGCAGCUUACUAAACUGUGACUGACAUUGAUGCUCGAAGGUGUGGGUAUCGAACAGGAUUAGAUACCCUUGUAGUC